Molecule: ribosomal RNA, 521 nt
Filed under: uncultured crenarchaeote
Lineage: Archaea; Thermoproteati; Thermoproteota
Description: bacterial SSU rRNA
Rfam family: Archaeal small subunit ribosomal RNA
Source: RNAcentral
UCGCGCAAACUUUGCAAUACACGCAAGUGUGACAGGGCUAUCCCGAGUGCCGUCCGCUGAGGAUGGCUUUUACUCAGUCUAGAACGCUGGGAGAAUAAGGAGAGGGCAAGUCUGGUGUCAGCCGCCGCGGUAAUACCAGCUCUCCGAGUGGUGUGGAUGUUUAUUGGGCCUAAAGCAUCCGUAGCUGGCCAAGUUAGUCCCCUGUUAAACCCACCGAAUCAAUCGUUGGAUUGCGGGGGAUACUGCUCGGCUAGGGGACGAGAGAGGCAGACGGUAUUUUCGGGGUAGGGGUGAAAUCCUAUAAUCCCGGGAAGACCACCAGUGGCGAAGGCUGUCUGCUAGAACGAGCCCGACGGUGAGGGAUGAAAGCUGGGGGAGCGAACCGGAUUAGAUACCCGGGUAGUCCCAGCUGUAAACGAUGCAGGCUAGGUGUAUCGAUGACCACGAGUCAUCGAGGUGCCGAAGGGAACCGUGAAACGCGCCGCCUGGGAAGUACGGUCGCAAGGCUGAAACUUAAAGGU